This 22-nucleotide microRNA is filed under the name Drosophila melanogaster (fruit fly). RNAcentral's name for it is "dme-miR-318-5p". Its record names the gene dme-miR-318-5p. RNAcentral also lists the same sequence under 2 other names. Lineage: Eukaryota; Metazoa; Arthropoda; Insecta; Diptera; Drosophilidae. The record is from miRBase by way of RNAcentral.
GGAUACACACAGUUCAGUUUUG